UACUGUACGAAGGUAGCGCAACCACUUGUUCUAUAAUUAAGGACUAGUAUGAAUGGCACCACGAGGACCAUACUGUCUCCUCUUUACAAUCUGUGAAACUGAUCUUCCCGUGAAGAAGCGGGAAUUACAAUACUAGACGAGAAGACCCCAUGAAGCUUCAAACUAACACAGCAACUUUACUGUAUCAACAACACUCUAACACAAGUAAGUAGUGACCAUUAGUUUUUGGUUGGGGUAACCGCGGAGUAAAAUAUACCCUCCAUAGUGAAGGGGGCCCCCCCUAAUUCAAGAACCACAUCUCUAAAAAUCAGUAUACUGACGAAUCUGACCCAUAUAUUUGAUCAAUGAACCAAGUUACUCUGGGGAUAACAGCGCAAUCUAUUUUGAGAGUCCGUAUUGACAAAUGGGUUUACGACCUCGAUGUUGGAUCAGGGCAUCCAAGUGGUGCACCCGCCACUAAAGGCUCGUUUGUUCAACGAUUAAAGCCCUACGUGAUCUGAGU
Molecule: ribosomal RNA, 502 nt
Filed under: Arthroleptis aureoli (Freetown long-fingered frog)
Lineage: Eukaryota; Metazoa; Chordata; Amphibia; Anura; Arthroleptidae
Description: partial 16S ribosomal RNA
Rfam family: Bacterial large subunit ribosomal RNA
Source: RNAcentral